GACGAACGCUGGCGGCGUGCUUACACAUGCAAGUCCAACGGGAAGGCCCCAGCCUGGCGGGGUACACGAGCGGCGAACGGGGGAGGAACACGGGGGGGACCCGCCCCGCACCUCGGGAUUAGCCCGGGAAAACGGGGUUUAUACCGGAUAAGACCGCACCGGGAGGGGGGGGUGGAAAGUUUUUCGGUGUGGGAUGGGCCCGCGGCCUAUCAGCUUGGUGGUGGGGUAAUGGCCUACCAAGGCGGCGGCGGGUAGCCGGCCUGAGAGGGUGGACGGCCACAUUGGGACUGAGACACGGCCCAGACUCCUACGGGAGGCAGCAGUGGGGAAUAUUGCACAAUGGGCGGAAGCCUGAUGCAGCGACGCCGCGUGGGGGAUGACGGCCUUCGGGUUGUAAACUCCUUUCACCAUCGACGAAGGUCUUCUGACGGUAGAUGGAGAAGAAGCACCGGCUAACUACGUG
RNAcentral lists this ribosomal RNA (463 nucleotides) under uncultured bacterium. RNAcentral's name for it is "partial 16S ribosomal RNA". It matches the Rfam family "Bacterial small subunit ribosomal RNA", at positions 28 to 507 of the family's 1533-position model. The record is from RNAcentral.